This 390-nucleotide ribosomal RNA is filed under the name uncultured Streptococcus sp. RNAcentral describes it as "bacterial SSU rRNA". It matches the Rfam family "Bacterial small subunit ribosomal RNA", at positions 991 to 1382 of the family's 1533-position model. Lineage: Bacteria; Bacillati; Bacillota; Bacilli; Lactobacillales; Streptococcaceae. The record is from RNAcentral.
GAUGCUAUUCUAGAGAUAGAAAGUUACUUCGGUACAUCGGUGACAGGUGGUGCGAUGGUUGUCGUCAGCUCGUGUCGUGAGAUGUUGGGUUAAGUCCCGCAACGAGCGCAACCCCUAUUGUUAGUUGCCAUCAUUCAGUUGGGCACUCUAGCGAGACUGCCGGUAAUAAACCGGAGGAAGGUGGGGAUGACGUCAAAUCAUCAUGCCCCUUAUGACCUGGGCUACACACGUGCUACAAUGGUUGGUACAACGAGUUGCGAGUCGGUGACGGCGAGCUAAUCUCUUAAAGCCAAUCUCAGUUCGGAUUGUAGGCUGCAACUCGCCUACAUGAAGUCGGAAUCGCUAGUAAUCGCGGAUCAGCACGCCGCGGUGAAUACGUUCCCGGGCCUU